AUUUCUCUUUACAAAAGCCAUGUUAACUCAUUGCCAACAUAUCAUGUUUAUGUAUAUGUCUGAUAAUUCUGUUCUUCACUAUAGUUUCAACCAAUUUGCUGGUACUGAAGUUAGGCUUAUUGGCCUGUAAUUGCCAGGAUCACCUCUUUUUAAAACUUGGCAUUUAGAUUAGC
This is a long non-coding RNA of Dermochelys coriacea (leatherback sea turtle), 173 nucleotides long. RefSeq lists it as uncharacterized. The record is from RefSeq and is a predicted model, not a curated record. The transcript has 4 exons. Lineage: Eukaryota; Metazoa; Chordata; Testudines; Dermochelyidae.